RNAcentral lists this small nuclear RNA (99 nucleotides) under Suricata suricatta (meerkat). The record is from RNAcentral. Lineage: Eukaryota; Metazoa; Chordata; Mammalia; Carnivora; Herpestidae.
UAGACCACUGACUACUUUUGUUUAAAUGAAAUAAUACAGAAGAUUGGCAUGAUCCUUGCUCAAAAUGACCCACAUGUUCAUGAAGCAUUCCAUAUUUAA